This 533-nucleotide ribosomal RNA is filed under the name uncultured bacterium. RNAcentral describes it as "bacterial SSU rRNA". It matches the Rfam family "Bacterial small subunit ribosomal RNA", at positions 8 to 526 of the family's 1533-position model. The record is from RNAcentral.
AGAGUUUGAUCCUGGCUCAGAACGAACGCUGGCGGCGUGGAUAAGACAUGCAAGUCGAACGAGAACUUUUCUGGUAGCAAUACCGGGAAAGUUUUAGUGGCGAACGGGUGCGUAACACGUGGGCAAUCUGCCGAGAAGUGGGGGAUAGCUCGCCGAAAGGCGAAUUAAUACCGCAUGUGAUCAGGAGAGACAUCUCUUCGACAUCAAAGCCAGGGCAACCUGGCGCUUCUUGAUGAGCCCGCGGCCUAUCAGCUAGUUGGUGAGGUAACGGCCCACCAAGGCUUUGACGGGUAGCUGGUCUGAGAGGACGACCAGCCACACUGGAACUGAGACACGGUCCAGACACCUACGGGUGGCAGCAGUCGAGAAUUUUUCUCAAUGGGGGAAACCCUGAAGGAGCGACGCCGCGUGUGGGAGGACGCCUUUCGGGGUGUAAACCACUGUUGCCCGGGACGAACACCUCUUUUCGAAGAGGCUGACGGUACCGGGUGAGGAAGCACCGGCUAACUCCGUGCCAGCCGCCGCGGUAAUAC